UAAAUCAGUAUCUCAACAAGACCCAUUCAGCUCAAGAUGGAACAUCUCAUGUAGUAUCAGGUAUAAAUCAGUAUCUCAACAAGACCCAUUCAGCUCAAGAUGGAACUAUCAGGCAGUCAGUAAUCUAGCAAAACAAAAACAAAACUAACCAUGCUUCAAACAAGAAUAAUUGGUGAGGCAAAGAUCUCACAGAAUGAAGAUCUCGCUAUUUCUAUGUAAAUUACAAGAUCGGUGACAACAAGGAGCACUAACAAAUAUGCCCGCUACACAUCAUCCAUCAGGGCAAUCUUGGAAGAGCAACUUUGUCGAAUGAAAGAAAGCUGACCCGCCCAUUAUCCACAUGGCAAUACUUGAGAGGAAUACCCCCAAAAUUGUUUUCCACCAUUUCCAAUUCAAUCCUUGAGGGGGGCUUAUUCCUGCACCAGAUUGAAAAACAAUGUCAAUGUCUUCUUUUAGGACUUUAAGUCAACCAGUCAAAGUUGUGAUAGUCUGAUACAAACAUUGAUCAACAAAGUAUAUGAGAGCAACCCUAUUACGUAAUAAAUUUUAUUCAUAUGCUAUAACCAAAAGUCAUCUUGGCAUCUUUUUUUCUUUACUUUCGUAACAGUAUCUGCACUUUAUAAAUUUGC
This 629-nucleotide long non-coding RNA is filed under the name Panicum hallii. RNAcentral's name for it is "long non-coding RNA (PHAL_LNC000451)". Lineage: Eukaryota; Viridiplantae; Streptophyta; Magnoliopsida; Poales; Poaceae. The record is from RNAcentral.